UACGGAGGAUGCAAGCGUUAUCCGGAAUGAUUGGGCGUAAAGCGUCCGCAGGUGGCUGUGUAAGUCUGCUGUUAAAGAGUGAGGCUCAACCUCAUAAAGGCAGUGGAAACUACAUGGCUAGAGUGCGUUCGGGGCAGAGGGAAUUCCUGGUGUAGCGGUGAAAUGCGUAGAGAUCAGGAAGAACACCGGUGGCGAAAGCGAUCUGCUAGGCCGCAACUGACACUGAGGGACGAAAGCUAGGGGAGCGAAUGGG
This 253-nucleotide ribosomal RNA is filed under the name uncultured bacterium. Its description in RNAcentral is "partial 16S ribosomal RNA". It matches the Rfam family "Bacterial small subunit ribosomal RNA", at positions 524 to 776 of the family's 1533-position model. The record is from RNAcentral.